CACCUUCUCCUGAGGCUUACUCUGCCCUGAGCCUUUCCAGAUCACCCUUGUUCUUUCAAAGCUCAUCCUGGGUUCCAUUUCCUCUGACAUCUGUUGUCUUCUCUGUUCUUGAUACAAUUUGAUACACAUUUGAUGUCUAUCCUGUGCCUUGAUCUGUACUGAGCUCGCAGGAUGCAAAGAUGAACGAAAUGCGAUUCUCAGCCCCCGAUCUAGCUCUCCAGGAUGACAGUCACCAAGAUGACAAACUAAACUAUGCAGAAUUCAUGAUGGACAGUCCCUUUCAGAAUGCCCAGGUGAACUGCUUCUAUGUAUUCCUGAGUAUUAAAUGGGAAAAGAUUUCCAAGUGAUUCUUCAACAUGUAACUGACCAGCCCAGUCAGACACAAUUCUGGUAGCCCAUCAGAUUUCCAAAAAUUUCACACUUAUUGAAUUUCCACAUUUACAGCACAGGACAUUGGAAGCAACAGGAGUAAAGCUGUAAGGAAAAAUUGGAUUCCAGAGUGACCAAGAUUUUCCUGGGAUGUGUUUGGUGCUGUUUGAGCACAGGCAGAACUAGGUGAUGGUUCAUCCCGCAUUAGGAUUCCCCCCUGAGCGGGGAAGCUGAGUUAGAGAGAGCAGCCGUCUCCCAAGGACACUUUGGUGUCAUGGCUUGGGGAACUCUUAACUGGUGAGCAGCUCUGGGAAGGACUAAAACUGGGUGUGUGGUGCAAAGUGUGUGCUAAUCACACAUUUAAGGAAUCAAGCGACAUCAAAGCAUGAGAUCACACGAGUAACAGAGAUGGCACGGGGGAGAUGAGGGAUACAGCACAGUGGGAGGUCUCCUGCUUUUUCUUUCCUGAUGGGGGGAGGAGAGGUUAUUAAUGAUGGGAUGGAUUAGAACAGAUGGGUACUUUUGACACAUUUCCCCAUGUUGUUAUUUUCCAGUUUCCCAUCUUCCCACCCCUAGUCAUGUGCCUUUCCCUUGGUUAGGAGUGAAAACAUGUGACUUUUUAAAGGGAAGCCUCAGGAAGGGAAGGUAGAUUAGAGAUGUUGCCAUAUUGCUCAGAGCACACGCUGGGCUGAUCGGGAAGGUCUUCCCAGAGCCUUUGCUCAGAGGGGCACGUGUGCUUUCCGACACUGUGUUCAAAGGCAAACUGCGUGACUUUCCACGGGCUCCAUCUCAGCCCCACUCCAGCCAGGCAGCCGUCACUUGCUGAUUACUGCUACCUUUCUGCAGCCUGGAGAUUUGCAUUGUAAAUGG
Long non-coding RNA from Hippopotamus amphibius kiboko, 1239 nucleotides. RefSeq lists it as uncharacterized. The record is from RefSeq and is a predicted model, not a curated record. The transcript is spliced from 3 exons. NCBI's taxonomy places the organism in Eukaryota, Metazoa, Chordata, Mammalia, Artiodactyla, Hippopotamidae.